GUCCACGCCCUAAACGAUGACAACUGGAUGUCGGGAGGGUUUGCCUUCCGGUGUCGUAGCUAACGCGUUAAGUUGUCCGCCUGGGGAAGUACGGGCCGCAAGGUUGAAAACUCAAAAGGAAUUGAACGGGGACCCGCGACCAAGCGGUGGAGCAUGUGGUUUAAUUCGAUGCAACGCGAAGAACCUUACCUAGGUUCCUUGACAUCCUAGGAAUCCUGCAGAGAUGCGGGAGUGCCUUCGGGAACCUGGAGACAGGUGCUGCAUGGCUGUCGU
This 273-nucleotide ribosomal RNA is filed under the name uncultured bacterium. RNAcentral's name for it is "partial 16S ribosomal RNA". It matches the Rfam family "Bacterial small subunit ribosomal RNA", at positions 793 to 1055 of the family's 1533-position model. The record is from RNAcentral.